GAUGAACGCUGGCGGCGUGCCUAAUACAUGCAAGUCGAGCGAACAGACGAGGAGCUUGCUCCUCUGACGUUAGCGGCGGACGGGUGAGUAACACGUGGAUAACCUACCUAUAAGACUUGGAUAACUUCGGGAAACCGUAGCUAAUACCGGAUAAUAUAUUUAACCUCAUGGUUCAAUAGUUAAAGACGGUUUUGCUGUCACUUAUAGAUGGAUCCGCGCCGCAUUAGCUAGUUGGUAAGGUAACGGCUUACCAAGGCAACGAUGCGUAGCCGACCUGAGAGGGUGAUCGGCCACACUGGAACUGAGACACGGUCCAGACACCUACGGGAGGCAGCAGUAGGGAAUCUUCCGCAAUGGGCGAAAGCUUGACGGAGCAACGCCGCGUGAGUGAUGAAGGUCUUCGGAUCGUAAAACUCUGUUAUUAGGGAAGAACAAAUGUGUAAGUAACUAUGCACGUCUUGACGGUACCUAAACAGAAAGCCACGGCUAACUACGUG
Molecule: ribosomal RNA, 497 nt
Filed under: uncultured bacterium
Lineage: Bacteria
Description: partial 16S ribosomal RNA
Rfam family: Bacterial small subunit ribosomal RNA
Source: RNAcentral